Strigops habroptila (Kakapo) is the source of this 2239-nucleotide long non-coding RNA. The record is from Ensembl. NCBI's taxonomy places the organism in Eukaryota, Metazoa, Chordata, Aves, Psittaciformes, Psittacidae.
AGGUAUGGGAUGAGCAAUUCUGUAAAGUGGGUAUUUAACCUGCUUUUGGUGAACUAUUUUGUAGAGACAAACAGGCUUUUGGGGGAAUAACAAACACAUAGAUACUCUUAUAUGUGCAUUGUAGGAGCCUACCUCUGGGAAUAGGGCUUUUUAUUAUAAAAUUUAGCAGUGUUACAACAAUAGUGUUUUUUAAAUAUCUGUGUGUUUUAAAGGCUGACCCAGUGGAAAGCUCUGAGGUACAUAGCUCAAGGCACUUGGCUAUUUCAUUCAAUCUUAACAUUGCUAAAAAGCUGUAGAAACUAGAAAUCAUGUUGUGACUGGUAUAUCUACCACAUAGAAUCAUAGAAUCAACUAGGUUGAAAAAGACCUUUAAGACAUCAAGUCCAACCAUUACCCCAGGAAUGCCAAGACCGCUUGGCUUAUUAGAGGAAGAUUGGGAGGAAGGGAGGGGAGAGUUAUGCUAUACUCUGUUUUUAGGCUCAAUAAACAUCUAAGUUGUACUUAGAUUCAAGAUCAGAUCAGAGUCCCACUUCUGUUAGCAGUAAGCCAAAGGCUGUAGUUGUUCAUACACAAAGAUUAGAGAAUGUGAGUGUAUUGCUGGGUCAAUUGUAGGCAGAGCUGCAUUAUGAGAAUAACCCUUCUUGCAAAAUCAUGUAUGCUGGAGUCACACUGUUUCUAGCAGGCUCACUGGUUGAUGACAGCAGCUUUAUUUCCAUGUUGAAAGACUUUGUUUAGAUGGAAAAUAAAAGGUGUCUCUCAAAAUAGUUUUUCUACUUUAUUGAGUUCAACCAAUCCCAAAAUGUUAAAUAAGGGCUGAAGUACCAUGGUUGGGGUCUGUUUGUCGUCAGACCUGGCUCUGUAUUUCACGUACCAAGUGAUGUGAUUUUAGCCCACUUGGUCUCAUUUCCGUGGUGCUCCAGAAUCAUCAAACCCUCCCAAUUUUGGGAAGGACUGGCUCUAGAUGAUGCGAUUCUGUACUAUCUUGAAGAUAGUGGUUGAAGAACCACGUGGAUGAGGAACGCCUGGUAGGGAAGGAGAAGAGCAUUGCAGGGCAAUAGCAAUAAUGAAUAAGUGCUGCAAUACUCAGUGGAGGUGGCGAGUUCUCUAGCUUAUUGGGUGGGGUCUUGGUUCAUGGUGUUGAAAGCAGUUGCAAGCUCCCAAAUGGCAUUACAACUUCUGUUCUGUGUCCUUUUGCUUUAAUGUCGGAGCUCUGUUUACCCAAAUUUUCUCUGCUGAAAUUACAUCAGCAAUACCAUGAAGUAGGAAUACCUUAAUCGAGAAGGCAAUAGCACUGGUCUCCAGUGAGCCAUAGAUGAACUGGUGUCCAUCUGCUGGAAGGGGUUCUCCCUACGUCGGGAUAUUUCUGUGCCUUAUCAUACUUGCUAAAGGUGACUUGGUGACUGGAAGUUGCCAAGGUUUGGUUUGGUUUGUGGUGACUGUAGAGGAGACUGUUUUGCAGGUAACAGUUCAGAGCAUACCAGAUUUUGAAGUUUUUAUUUGCUUUUUCAGUUUCUUUCAUGAUCACCUCCUCUCUCUUCCUCAAUACACAGAAAUGAAAUGCACAGGGUCUUCAUUCUAAUUCAACAAAUCACAUUGACCUACUUUGUUAUAGCAGUUCUCUGCAGGCAGAAUCCAGAAUGCGCUUGUAGCAGCAGUCUCCCCUCUUACUACAGAACACAGCUAAGAUGUACAUUGUUUGUUUUGGUUUGCCUGUGGCUGUACCACAGAACUUGUGGUCCCUACUUGUUCUUAGCUUUAUUCUGCUCUUCUCAUGUUAGCCAAACUGGUAAUGGACUUCCCAGUUCCUCCCCCUCAGCUCGAGUAUCGCUGCGUUCUUCAGGCAGCACUUGCAGCACAGUUAUGACCUGGAAUAUUUUGCUGUAUUUCAACUGCGGAAGCAGUUUCAGUGGUUGGAGACUUCGCUCAAGACACCUGUUCCCAACCCUACACCAAUGCAAUUAUCUCCACCCGCAGCCGGGACACAUAUACGGGUUUUUAACUGGUGCAGAUGCAGCCUCAGCACUGUCAGCUCUGCGGCACUGUCAGCUCUGCGCCUUCAGCCUUGAGACUGCAGCGUGCGAACAGGCUGUGGGAGAGUCGGUGGCCCUGGUGCUGCUGCAUGUCCGGGGUAGCCACAGAUGACAGCAAGCCCUCUGCAAUAACGCGUGAUUCCAGCGAUCUGCAGUAAAUGAUGUACAAAUAAAACUUGAUGACAUGUAUUUUAUGUGAAAAAAAAAAA